CAACUCGCCUGCGUGAAGUCGGAAUUGCUAGUAAUCGCAGAUCAGCAUGCUGCGGUGAAUACGUUCCCGGGCCUUGUACACACCGCCCGUCACACCAUGGGAGUCGGUAACACCCGAAGCCUGUAGUCUGACCUUUUGGAGGACGCAGUCGAAGGUGGGAUCGAUGACUGGGGUGAAGUCGUAACAAGGUACC
RNAcentral lists this ribosomal RNA (193 nucleotides) under uncultured bacterium. RNAcentral describes it as "partial 16S ribosomal RNA". It matches the Rfam family "Bacterial small subunit ribosomal RNA", at positions 1308 to 1500 of the family's 1533-position model. The record is from RNAcentral.